This 235-nucleotide long non-coding RNA is filed under the name Nicotiana benthamiana. Its description in RNAcentral is "long non-coding RNA (NBEN_LNC022887)". The record is from RNAcentral. Lineage: Eukaryota; Viridiplantae; Streptophyta; Magnoliopsida; Solanales; Solanaceae.
ACUUUUUAAAGGUUUUAAUGAUUUUACUGAAGCUCUAGACUAUGCAAGAGGAAUACUAGGACCAAAUUACUAUAUCUCCCCAGCACUAAGACAAAAUCCAGAAAAAAUCCAAUACAAAAUCCAAAAAGACACAGACAAAAUAAUAUUUUGUGACCACUGCUCGUCUAUGACCGAAGCUUUCAGAAGAUUGAACCAAAAGAAUAAAAGCUUGGAGAAAGAAAAAGUCAGACUUAUG